Molecule: ribosomal RNA, 223 nt
Filed under: uncultured bacterium
Lineage: Bacteria
Description: partial 16S ribosomal RNA
Rfam family: Bacterial small subunit ribosomal RNA
Source: RNAcentral
ACGCUCGACACCUACUGGAGGCAGCAGUAGGGAAUCUUCCACAAUGGACGCAAGUCUGAUGGAGCAACGCCGCGUGAGUGAAGAAGGUUUUCGGAUCGUAAAGCUCUGUUGUUGGUGAAGAAGGAUAGAGGUAGUAACUGGCCUUUAUUUGACGGUAAUCAACCAGAAAGUCACGGCUAACUACGUGCCAACAGCCGCGGUAAUCUGAGCGGGCUGGCAAGGC